Molecule: non-coding RNA, 99 nt
Filed under: uncultured Butyricicoccus sp.
Lineage: Bacteria; Bacillati; Bacillota; Clostridia; Eubacteriales; Butyricicoccaceae
Description: SAM riboswitch (S box leader)
Rfam family: SAM riboswitch aptamer (S box leader)
About the family: The SAM riboswitch is found upstream of a number of genes which code for proteins involved in methionine or cysteine biosynthesis in Gram-positive bacteria. The SAM riboswitch acts at the level of transcription termination control.
Source: RNAcentral
CCUUAUCAAGAGAGGUGGAGGGAUCGGCCCUAUGAAGCCCGGCAACCUGCGUGCGCGCAAGGUGCCAAGUCCGACGGCGUAUCAGAUCGAGAGAUGAGG